CUACUUAUCUGGCAGAGGAGAUACCAUGAUCACAAAAGUUGUUUUCAUAGGGUGAGGCUUAUCCAUUGUAUUCCAGAUAUGCUGACCCCUGUGAUUUUCCCAAUUGUGGGAAACUUGACUGCAUAAUUUUGUUAGUGGUGGACUGCAUUCACAAUCUCCCA
Molecule: small nuclear RNA, 161 nt
Filed under: Colobus angolensis palliatus
Lineage: Eukaryota; Metazoa; Chordata; Mammalia; Primates; Cercopithecidae
Description: U1 spliceosomal RNA (ENSCANG00000020806.1)
Rfam family: U1 spliceosomal RNA
About the family: U1 is a small nuclear RNA (snRNA) component of the spliceosome (involved in pre-mRNA splicing). Its 5' end forms complementary base pairs with the 5' splice junction, thus defining the 5' donor site of an intron.
Source: Rfam by way of RNAcentral